Molecule: long non-coding RNA, 232 nt
Filed under: Capsicum annuum
Lineage: Eukaryota; Viridiplantae; Streptophyta; Magnoliopsida; Solanales; Solanaceae
Description: long non-coding RNA (CANN_LNC013465)
Source: RNAcentral
GACGACCUUGGCUGAUAUGUGAUAACUUAUCACACCAGGUCGUCACUCAGAGGCCGAUUUUUGUGAGUUACUGCCUUGGGCUGACGACAUGGCUGAUAGGUCAUCACAUAUGUGAAAACUUAUCAGCUCAGGUCGUCACUGUCGACAGGCUGAAGUAAAAUGGGUAUAACUUUUUGCUCCGAUCUUAGAUUUGGGUGAAAUUGGUAUCGUUGGAAAGGUAAUUCGAAUAGAU